CAGUCGCCACGGGAAUACGUAGGUGGCAAGCGUUAUCCGGAAUUAUUGGGCGUAAAGCGCGCGUAGGCGGUUUUUUAAGUCUGAUGUGAAAGCCCACGGCUCAACCGUGGAGGGUCAUUGGAAACUGGAAAACUUGAGUGCAGAAGAGGAAAGUGGAAUUCCAUGUGUAGCGGUGAAAUGCGCAGAGAUAUGGAGGAACACCAGUGGCGAAGGCGACUUUCUGGUCUGUAACUGACGCUGAUGUGCGAAAGCGUGGGGAUCAAACAGGAUUAGAGACCCCCGUAGUCCCUGUCUCUUAUAC
RNAcentral lists this ribosomal RNA (301 nucleotides) under uncultured bacterium. RNAcentral's name for it is "partial 16S ribosomal RNA". It matches the Rfam family "Bacterial small subunit ribosomal RNA", at positions 509 to 807 of the family's 1533-position model. The record is from RNAcentral.